UCCCUGGUGGUCCAGCAGUUAGGACUCUGCGCUUCCACUGCAGGAGGUGUGGGUUUGAUCCCCAGUUGGGGAA
Molecule: transfer RNA, 73 nt
Filed under: Ovis aries (sheep)
Lineage: Eukaryota; Metazoa; Chordata; Mammalia; Artiodactyla; Bovidae
Rfam family: tRNA
About the family: Transfer RNA (tRNA) molecules are approximately 80 nucleotides in length.
Source: Rfam by way of RNAcentral